This 254-nucleotide ribosomal RNA is filed under the name uncultured archaeon. RNAcentral describes it as "partial 16S ribosomal RNA". It matches the Rfam family "Archaeal small subunit ribosomal RNA", at positions 474 to 727 of the family's 1478-position model. The record is from RNAcentral.
UACCGGCAGCCCGAGUGAUGGCCGAUCUUAUUGGGCCUAAAGCGUCCGUAGCUGGCCGCGCAAGUCCAUCGGAAAAUCCACCCGCUCAACGGGUGGACGUCCGGUGGAAACUGCACGGCUUGGGACCGGAAGGCGGGACGGGUACGUCCGGGGUAGGAGUGAAAUCCCGUAACCCUGGACGGACCGCCGAUGGCGAAAGCACGUCGCGAGAACGGAUCCGACAGUGAGGGACGAAAGCUAGGGUCUCGAACCGG